CAACUACAUAUUUAAAAUUAAAUUUAAAAAAUUUUUUUAAUAUCAUAAGAUCAGAAAUUUAAUUAAUAAUCCGCUGAAUACCAUGGAUGAUAAGAUGACUUUUUCGGAGGUGGAAAAAGCUAUUAAGUUGUUCAGUGUUGAUAUCUUGCCAGAUCUGGAUAACAUUGUUAGCAGGAUGUUAUGCAAUUCCUUUAAAACUAUUCCCCUCAUGUUUGUGAUUCUUUACAGUAAAUACUUUAGGAAUGAAUACACUUCUCAAACCAAUGGAAAAUCACUAAAAAUCAAAUUUAUUAUGAAAAGUAAUAAGAACAAUGACUACACUUAUG
Molecule: long non-coding RNA, 326 nt
Filed under: Androctonus crassicauda
Lineage: Eukaryota; Metazoa; Arthropoda; Arachnida; Scorpiones; Buthidae
Source: RNAcentral